RNAcentral lists this ribosomal RNA (310 nucleotides) under uncultured soil bacterium. RNAcentral's name for it is "bacterial SSU rRNA". It matches the Rfam family "Bacterial small subunit ribosomal RNA", at positions 26 to 343 of the family's 1533-position model. The record is from RNAcentral.
AGAUUGAACGCUGGCGGCAUGCCUUACACAUGCAAGUCGAACGGUAGAGUAGCAAUACUCGAGAGUGGCGGACGGGUGAGUAAUAUAUCGGAACGUGCCCAGUCGUGGGGGAUAACGUAGAGAAAUUUACGCUAAUACCGCAUACGAUCUACGGAUGAAAGCGGGGGAUCGCAAGACCUCGCGCGAUUGGAGCGGCUGAUAUCAGAUUAGGUUGUUGGUGAGGUAAAAGCUCACCAAGCCGACGAUCUGUAGCUGGUUUGAGAGAACGACCAGCCACACUGGGACUGACGACACGGCCCAGACCUCCGUA